GAACCCUGAGGAACACUUGAGAACAGUGCAGCCUGGGGCUCGAGAAAGACUAACGGCAAGGCUGCAUACCCUUUCCAGGAGUGAACCUUUAAGCUUUCUAGAUUCAUGGUUUCAAACCUUAAGCAUGCAUCAGAUCCCAUAGAGGGCUUAUUACAACAGAUGCCUGGGCCUCACCCCAGAGUUUCUGUUGUAAAGAUCUGAUGUGGGGCUGGAGAAUUUGCAUUUCUAGAAAAUUUCCAUGUGGUGCUGAGGCUGCUGGUUUGGGGAUUGCACUGUUCCAUAGAAAUUGCUAGUAAAAACAGGACAAUUAAGGACAUUGGAAAGUAGAUUAAGAUAAGCAUAACCAUAUGAGGCGAGUUCAAGAUCAGAAACAACUGCCAGAGGGGAGAGUGCAGGCUGUCACCCACACUUCUUAAACCUCAUUAGAAAAUUCAUUAAUGAGAAGGAAUCAGAGACUUAGGCCUGACUCCCUUGUCUGUCCCUGCUUGUUUUGUACAUACACAUUGACUGAUACAAUAGGAUGCUGAGUUUUGCUCUGGAAGCUGUGAGACGUGGAAGGCUUGUACUGGUUCUCAGCAGAGGCAGCCAAGCCUUUGCUGCCCACUUCUCUCCCAGAAUAGUGAUGGGUUUUGCAUGUCAGGGCCAAAACAAGCUGCCAGGUCCCUGGAAGACAAUUUCGCUGCCAACAUCUCUGUUUAAGAGGCCAGGCCCAUUUAGGAAAUUUGGCCUGGAGAGGCAAAAGAGGGAUCUGUUAUGGACUGAAUGGCCCCUCUCCCCCGACCCAAUUCAUAUGUUGAAGCCCUCACCCCCAGUGUGACUGCACUUGGAGUUGGGACCUUUUUAAGGUAACUAAGGAUAAAUGAGGUCAUAAGGGUGGGCCCUAAUCCAAUAGGACUUGUGUCCUUAUAAGAACAGUAAGAGACACUAGGAUGCACAUGCACAUGGAGAGGCCACGUGAGGACACAGCAGGGAGGUGGCCUUCUGCAAGCCAAGGAGAGAGGUCUUGGGAGAAACCAUCCCUGCAGGCACCUUGAUCUUGGACUUCCAGCCUCCAGAACUGUGAGGCAAUGAAUUCCUGGUGUGUUUAAGCCACCUGGACUGUGGCGUUUUGUUCUGGCAGCCCAAGCAGAAUUACACAGGGUCCAACCAAGGUGAAAGAGUGAGCCUCCUGAAGCUGGCAGUGAAGACAAGUUUAGAAGGGGGUUCUGCAAGUGGAGGCUUGUCCAGUUUGUCCUUCAUCAGGUGAUGGGACCUCGGAGAGGUGAAGUGUUUUGGGAAGUGAGCAGUCACAGAGGCAGAUCCUAUAGGCUGGAACAAUGAGUGUUCCAUGGAGUGACGCUCCAGACCUAGCUCCUGUUUCCAGAUGACUUUAAAGCCCCAGAGGUUCUGGUGCAACCCUACAGGGAAGGAGCCAUCCCCUAAACACUCUGUAGGUUAGAUUCCUCAACAUUCUAACCAGUGGGGGCUUGGAGCAGAUUGGACCUGAUUCUUAAAAAUAAUGUGCCACUUUUUGCCCUGAAGUUGUGAAGCAAACUCAUAUCUACUACACAUUGUAUAUAUAAAUAGUAGGCUAAGCUUAUAGCACUUUUUAAAACUUAUUAUUAUGGAAAAAAUUUAAAUAUAUACAAAAAUAAUAGAAAGAAUGGACCUCUGUGUAUCCAUCCCCCUAGGUCAAGUAUUAUCAAUUUACAGCCAUCUUUUGAAUCUAUUCUCCCACCCCACUAUCCUCAUGGCUUAGUUUGAAACAAUACCCAGACGUUAUAGCAUUUAUCUGUAAACGUUUCGGUAUCCAUUUCUAAAUCCACUAAACCAUUAUUAUACAUUAAAAAACUAACAAUAAUUCCUUAAUUUCAUCAAAUAUUCAUUAUUCAAAUGUACUUGAUUGUCUCAUGUUUUUUUGAAACAACAUGUUUGAAUCAAGAUCUAAAUAAAUAAAACACAUUGUAAUUGGUUGA
Molecule: long non-coding RNA, 1955 nt
Filed under: Homo sapiens (human)
Lineage: Eukaryota; Metazoa; Chordata; Mammalia; Primates; Hominidae
Description: HSALNT0036603
Source: RNAcentral